RNAcentral lists this long non-coding RNA (264 nucleotides) under Sander lucioperca (pikeperch). Its description in RNAcentral is "lncRNA (ENSSLUG00000015279.1)". The record is from RNAcentral. Lineage: Eukaryota; Metazoa; Chordata; Actinopteri; Perciformes; Percidae.
CUGGCAGUGAGACAGAAGGCCUGGAUGGUUUUCUUCAUUGGGACCGGAGAUGGGCAGCUCAUUAAGCUUGCUGUGGACAAGAACUAUCACACCACCUGUCCCAGAGUGCUCUACAGGGCCUCUGACGACCGCCAAGUGUUUCCCAAAAUGCAUCUGGAUCAAGUGGAUCUUAAACACGUGUACCUGCCAUUUCAGAACCAGGUGGGUGCAUUGUACAUGUAUCCAGUCUUGUAUAAAGUACUUAGUAGUUAGAAGUUAAAGUCA